UGGGUAACCUGCCCUCAGCUUUGGGAUAACCCUCGGAAACGGGGGCUAAUACCGGAUAUUCACUGCUUCGCGCAUGUGGGGUGGUGGAAAGUUUUUCGGCUGGGGAUGGGCUCGCGGCCUAUCAGCUUGUUGGUGGGGUGAUGGCCUACCAAGGCGACGACGGGUAGCCGGCCUGAGAGGGCGUCCGGCCACACUGGGACUGAGACACGGCCCAGACUCCUACGGGAGGCA
Molecule: ribosomal RNA, 231 nt
Filed under: uncultured bacterium
Lineage: Bacteria
Description: partial 16S ribosomal RNA
Rfam family: Bacterial small subunit ribosomal RNA
Source: RNAcentral